UUUCUAACUAGUUGAAUUAAUAGAUAACAGUAGCUAUUGUUAAAAAAAAUUGGACAUAUGAAGAGAUCAGGAUGAUGACUAGCCUCACGGAGGAGAUCUAUAGAGAAACUGCACACAAAGGCAAGAAGUUCCCAAUUUCUUUUUUUGAUGGUGAACAUAUGGUUGAGCUUUUAAAUCCUAUGAUGUAAGUUAAUUCCAGCAAUCAAAAUUUUGAAAUCUACAACAGAGUUACAUCUUUUGUAACGUGCGAGUCGAUGUUUAUUUUGCAGCCCCAUGUACAUUAAGGAUUGGAAGGCAGAUCAUGAGUUCAUGUUCAUACAUCUCUUUUUUUUUUGCGGGGCAUCUCUUCCAUCCUAGCAUGAGAGAUCACUCUCGGUCAACUACCAAAGGAAACAAUUAAAACCGAUAGAUUGUGAGCGGAAGCGGUCUAAGAAGUGAGAAGGGGAUUGGGAUUCAUUGAUUAUCGACAGAGUACUGAUUACAAGUGUAUAUAUAUAGUAGACCAGUGCAACUGCAGACAUGCAGUAAUAUGGAGAACGUGGGCAGUCCGAGAGAAGAUUAAGUCUACUGAAAGUCUACACUCUGACAAAACCCACCAUAAAUAACAAAAUCCAUUUUCGAUAUUCUUCCGUGCAUUUAUUUUAGUGAUACUUUUUAGUUUGGAAGAUCUUUUAACUUAUUUUUUAUCUACAUAGUACUACCGUAGUCAGAAUUCAGAAAUGCUGCAUCGUGGUGGCGUGCAGUGUAGGUUUCACCUUCUUUAUGGAACCAUAGCUUGUACUAAAAUUCGGUCUGUCUUUUCGCCCACCCACACUCUUGUUCGAUAUUCAUGCUGCUCGCUGUCCUGUCCGAUAUGAUCAGUCGUGCCACAUUGUGUUCCAACAGCACACACAACAUAGUCUUACGUACUACACGCAUCA
Molecule: long non-coding RNA, 920 nt
Filed under: Brachypodium distachyon (stiff brome)
Lineage: Eukaryota; Viridiplantae; Streptophyta; Magnoliopsida; Poales; Poaceae
Description: long non-coding RNA (BDIS_LNC004341)
Source: RNAcentral